RNAcentral lists this ribosomal RNA (155 nucleotides) under Thanatephorus cucumeris. Its description in RNAcentral is "5.8S ribosomal RNA". The stretch from base 42 to 155 matches the Rfam family "5.8S ribosomal RNA", at positions 1 to 114 of the family's 154-position model. Rfam says of the family: 5.8S ribosomal RNA (5.8S rRNA) is a component of the large subunit of the eukaryotic ribosome. It is transcribed by RNA polymerase I as part of the 45S precursor that also contains 18S and 28S rRNA. The record is from RNAcentral. Lineage: Eukaryota; Fungi; Basidiomycota; Agaricomycetes; Cantharellales; Ceratobasidiaceae.
UUAUUUUAAAUGAAUGUAAUGGAUGUAACACAUCUCAUACUAAGUUUCAACAACGGAUCUCUUGGCUCUCGCAUCGAUGAAGAACGCAGCGAAAUGCGAUAAGUAAUGUGAAUUGCAGAAUUCAGUGAAUCAUCGAAUCUUUGAACGCACCUUGC